Molecule: long non-coding RNA, 1824 nt
Organism: Arachis duranensis
Lineage: Eukaryota; Viridiplantae; Streptophyta; Magnoliopsida; Fabales; Fabaceae
Exons: 3
Source: RefSeq, a predicted model, not a curated record
AGAAGAAGAAAGAAAUGGAGAUAUUCAACCAUUGCUUUUCCUCAUUCACCAUUGUUUUUCCUCAUUCCACCUAGCUCUCAAAUUUUAUGCUCCUAAUUUUGCUUCAGUUUUUUUUGUUCGUAGAUCUCUUAGCCACUGUGUGCAUAAAUAAUAGGCACCUUUUUAGAGGAUGCACACCACUUCACACAUGACUGAGAAAUUUUGUCGAGAAGUAGAAGCCCAGGAAAUAAUUUACUACCACAAUGGCAUGUAUAUAAUGGUGUCAGUGCAAGGUAUUUACCAUAAGAAUCUUCUUAUCAGGUUGCUGAAGUUUUGAGGCGUCGAUCAAAGUUGAACGAUACUUCUAUAUCUGCAGACAGUUUCAUGAGUUUUUAAACCGCAUAAACAAGGUUGAAAGAACUUAAAUCUGCCUUGAUGACACUUGGUAGGGAAGCAAUCGUUGCUAUGUUAUUAGUUGAAAAGAACUGUAGCAACAAGUAACCAUCCAGAGCCUUUGUACAAUGUUGGUCGAGUGGUUAGCUCACUCGUCCGCUUAAGCAAGUGUCGGGGGUUUGAAUCCCGCCUUGUACAUGCAGCAACCCAUUGGCUAGCGGCAGACCCUAAUCCGCGACGGAUUAGUCCUUCACCUGUCGGGUUGGGGGAUACCGUGGGAAACCAAAAAAAAAAAUUGAGCAAUUUCAAGAAUCCAUUCCCCAUCUAAGGAAGCUUCCGCUCGAGAUUUUGAUAAGCGUUUGGAGAUGCUUUGUUGCUUCUGAACCUAUGCUUUCCUAUUGUCUUCAUUCAAUCAUGCGUGCUUCCUUCCAUGGCAAGCUGUAUGUUGGUGGAUCACCAUUGUCAAUGGCUACCAUCCGUCCUUUCAGUGAAAAUGGUCCAGGUACGGUUUUAGUAUGGCUAAUCAACUGUAGGAUCUCUCGUCUCGGAUGAAAAAUACCAGGCACAGUGAUAAACCACUAUUUUAUGGUUUAUAUUAUAUUUAAUUGAGUGAUUUUAUCAAGCUUUUCACCCACUUAUUCAUAGGAUUUGCAUGAUUUUACAAUUCCUUCCUAGUUUAGUUCUAUGAUUGAAAACAUGCUUCUUUGGUCUUAAUUUAGCUAAUCUUAAUCUUCUCUUAUUACCAUUCGAUGCCUUGAUCUGUGUGUUAAGUGUUUCAGGCUUCAAAGGACAGGAAUGGCUUAGAGAAUAAAGAGGAAGCGUGAAAAAAAUGGAAGGAACACAAGGAAUUGAGGAGACGACCAGCGAGAAGUCACGCAGUCGCAUGGCUCACGCGGCCGCGCGAAAUUGAAGAAAUCAGAGUGACGCGUUCGCGUGCCUGACGCGAUCGCGCGGAUUAGAAGCUGCACGAACGACGCGAAUGCGUGGACGAUGCGCACGCGUGGUACGAAAAAUGUUGAGUGACGCGAUCACGUGGACAACGCGGAUGCGUGACGUGCACAAUCUGCAGAAUUACAAAAGUCGCUGGCAGAGAUUCUGGGCCGCAUUUCAACGCAGUUUUCGGCCUAGAAUCAUUGAUUAAAGUCAGGGAACAUGCAAAGACUCAAGACAUCAAUUCAUAUCAGAUCAUAAUUCAAUUUUAGGUUUUAGAUGUAGUUUUUAGAGAGAGAGGUUCUCUCCUUUCUCUUAGGAUUUAGGAUUAAGAUUCCUCUUAAAGGAUUUAGGAUUUCGACUCUUCAUCAGGUUCAAUAUUCCUUUUACUUUAUAUUUCCCUUUUACUUCCAGAUGCUUUAAUGCUUGUAUUACUUAUGUUGCCUAUUUGGCUUAGUAACUUUUCAUGUUAGGAUUUUCUUAAUUAAUAUAAUUUGAGGUAUUUCAGACUUAUGAUUGUUU